RNAcentral lists this ribosomal RNA (1374 nucleotides) under human oral metagenome. RNAcentral's name for it is "bacterial LSU rRNA". It matches the Rfam family "Bacterial large subunit ribosomal RNA", at positions 1105 to 2574 of the family's 2925-position model. The record is from RNAcentral.
CUUGGAAGCAGCCAUUCAUUUAAAGAGUGCGUAACAGCUCACUAGUCGAGCGGUUCGGCAUGGAUAAUAAUCGGGCAUAAGCAUAUUACCGAAGCUAUGGCAACGAAAGUUGGGUAGGGGAGCAUUCUAUCGGCGCAGAAGCAUCACUGUGAGGUGAUGUGGAGCUUAUAGAAAAGAAAAUGUAGGCAUAAGUAACGAUAAAGCAGGCGAGAAACCUGCUCACCGAAAGACUAAGGGUUCCUCAGCCAUGCUAAUCAGCUGAGGGUUAGUCGGGGCCUAACGCGAACCCGAGAGGGGAAGUGGAUGGACAAUGGGUUAAUAUUCCCAUACUUGCUCACGAAUAAAGGGGACGGUUCAGCUAGACUACUGGAGACUGACGGAAUAGUCAAGACCUAGCCUACGGGCGAAGUUGUUGUAGAGUAACUGGAUCCAAGAAAAGCCGAAGUGAAGCAACCCGUACCAUAAACCGACACAGGUAGUCGAGGAGAGAAUCCUAAGGUGCUCGAGUGAGUCGUGGCUAAGGAACUAGGCAAAAUAGUCUCGUAACUUCGGAAUAAGAGACGCCAACAGCGAUGUUGGCCGCAGUGAAGAGGCCCAGGCGACUGUUUAUCAAAAACACAGGACUCUGCUAAAUCGAAAGAUGCUGUAUAGGGUCUGACACCUGCCCGGUGCUGGAAGGUUAAGGAAGGUGCUUAGCGUAAGCGAAGGCAUUGACUGAAGCCCCAGUAAACGGCGGCCGUAACUAUAACGGUCCUAAGGUAGCGAAAUUCCUUGUCGGGUAAGUUCCGACCUGCACGAAUGGUGUAACGAUCUGGGCACUGUCUCAGCCACGAGCUCGGUGAAAUUGUAGUAUCGGUGAAGAUGCCGAUUACCCGCAAUGGGACGAAAAGACCCUGUGAACCUUUACUAUAACUUCGUAUUGACUUUGAGUAAGUAAUGUGUAGGAUAGGUGGGAGGCUAUGAAGCUGGCACGCUAGUGUUGGUGGAGCCGUUGUUGAAAUACCACCCUUUGCUUACUUGGAGCCUAACUUCUGAAAAAGAGUAAGAAGGACAUUGCGUGGUGGGUAGUUUGACUGGGGUGGUCGCCUCCAAAAGAGUAACGGAGGCUUUCAAAGGUACCCUCAGCACGCUUGGUAACCGUGCGUAGAGUGUAAUGGCAUAAGGGUGCUUGACUGUGAGACCAACAAGUCGAUCAGGUGCGAAAGCAGGACAUAGUGAUCCGGUGGUUCCGUAUGGAAGGGCCAUCGCUCAUAGGAUAAAAGGUACUCCGGGGAUAACAGGCUAGUCUCCCCCAAGAGCUCACAUCGACGGGGAGGUUCGGCACCUCGAUGUCGGCUCGUCACAUCCUGGGGCUGGAGAAGGUCCCAAGGGUUG